RNAcentral lists this ribosomal RNA (496 nucleotides) under uncultured bacterium. Its description in RNAcentral is "partial 16S ribosomal RNA". It matches the Rfam family "Bacterial small subunit ribosomal RNA", at positions 28 to 507 of the family's 1533-position model. The record is from RNAcentral.
GAUGAACGCUGGCGGCGUGCCUAAUACAUGCAAGUCGAGCGAACGGACGAGAAGCUUGCUUCUCUGAUGUUAGCGGCGGACGGGUGAGUAACACGUGGAUAACCUACCUAUAAGACUGGGAUAACUUCGGGAAACCGUAGCUAAUACCGGAUAAUAUUUUGAACCGCAUGGUUCAAAAGUGAAAGACGGUCUUGCUGUCACUUAUAGAUGGAUCCGCGCUGCAUUAGCUAGUUGGUAAGGUAACGGCUUACCAAGGCAACGAUGCAUAGCCGACCUGAGAGGGUGAUCGGCCACACUGGACCGGAGACACGGUCCAGACUCCUACGGGAGGCAGCAGUAGGGAAUCUUCCGCAAUGGCGAAAGCCUGACGGAGCAACGCCGCGUGAGUGAUGAAGGUCUUCGGAUCGUAAAACUCUGUUAUUAGGGAAGAACAUAUGUGUAAGUAACUGUGCACAUCUUGACGGUACCUAAUCAGAAAGCCACGGCUAACUACGUG